This 547-nucleotide ribosomal RNA is filed under the name Russula aff. laurocerasi VH-2016. RNAcentral describes it as "mitochondrial SSU rRNA". It matches the Rfam family "Bacterial small subunit ribosomal RNA", at positions 359 to 952 of the family's 1533-position model. The record is from RNAcentral. Lineage: Eukaryota; Fungi; Basidiomycota; Agaricomycetes; Russulales; Russulaceae.
GAAUAUUAGUCAAUGCUCGAAAGAGUGAACUAGCUAACUGAAAUCAAUUAUAAAAAUUGAUAACAUAAGAGAAAAUAAUGAUAUUACCUUAUUAUUAGUGUCGUCCAAAACUGGUGCCAGAAGACUCGGUAAGGCCAGAGACACAAACGUUAAUCGUCUUAAUCAGGCGUAAAGGGUUUGUAGGCGGCUUUUAAUUAAUUUAUAAAAUAAAUAAAAAAGUUAAGAAUAAAAGCUAGAAUCAAAUAGAGGAUAAAUCAAAAAAUGCUUAGAGUAGGUCUGAUAUCCUUAAAUACUAAGUAGAAUAUUAAAGGCGAAAGCUUUUUUCCAUUAAUGAUUGACGCUCAGAAACGAAGGUGAGGAUAGGAAAUAGGAUUAGAUACCCAAAAUACCCCUCUCUGUCAACGAUGAAUGGUAAUUAUUAAUAAUAAAUUUAUUAAUGAUAAUGUUAACACGAUAACCAUUCCGCCUUGUGAGUACAACUGCAAAGUUGAAAACAAAAAAAUUAGUCGGUUUCGGAGCAAACGAAGUGAAGCAUGUUAUUUAAUUC